This 253-nucleotide ribosomal RNA is filed under the name uncultured bacterium. RNAcentral describes it as "partial 16S ribosomal RNA". It matches the Rfam family "Bacterial small subunit ribosomal RNA", at positions 524 to 776 of the family's 1533-position model. The record is from RNAcentral.
UACGUAGGGUGCAAGCGUUGUCCGGAAUUAUUGGGCGUAAAGAGCUCGUAGGCGGUCUGUCGCGUCUGCUGUGAAAACUCGGGGCUUAACCCCGGGCCUGCAGUGGGUACGGGCAGACUAGAGUGCGGUAGGGGAGACUGGAAUUCCUGGUGUAGCGGUGAAAUGCGCAGAUAUCAGGAGGAACACCGGUGGCGAAGGCGGGUCUCUGGGCCGAUAUUGACGCUGAUGCGCGAAAGCCAGGGGAGCAAACGGG